GAUGAACGCUGGCGGCGUGCCUAAUACAUGCCAGUCGAGCGAACGGACGAGAAGCUUGCUUUUCUGAUGUUAGCGGCGGACGGGUGAGUAACACGUGGAUAACCUACCUAUAAGACUGGGAUAACUUCGGGAAACCGGAGCUAAUACCGGAUAAUCUUUUGAACCGCAUGGUUCAAAAGUGAAAGACGGUCUUGCUGUCACUUAUAGAUGGAUCCGCGCUGCAUUAGCUAGUUGGUAAGGUAACGGCUUACCAAGGCAACGAGGCAUAGCCGACCUGAGAGGGUGAUCGGCCACACGGGAACUGAGACACGGUCCAGACUCCUACGGGAGGCAGCAGUAGGGAAUCGUCCGCAAUGGGCGAAAGCCUGACGGAGCAACGCCGCGUGAGUGAUGAAGGUCUUCGGAUCGUAAAACUCUGUUAUUAGGGAAGAACAUAUGUGUAAGUAGCUGUGCACAUCUUGACGGUACCUAAUCAGAAAGCCACGGCUAACUACGUG
This 497-nucleotide ribosomal RNA is filed under the name uncultured bacterium. RNAcentral's name for it is "partial 16S ribosomal RNA". It matches the Rfam family "Bacterial small subunit ribosomal RNA", at positions 28 to 507 of the family's 1533-position model. The record is from RNAcentral.